RNAcentral lists this non-coding RNA (202 nucleotides) under Staphylococcus arlettae. RNAcentral's name for it is "glmS glucosamine-6-phosphate activated ribozyme". It matches the Rfam family "glmS glucosamine-6-phosphate activated ribozyme aptamer". Rfam says of the family: This entry contains a glucosamine-6-phosphate activated ribozyme that is found in the mRNA for GlmS. GlmS is an enzyme that uses fructose-6-phosphate and glutamine to generate glucosamine-6-phosphate. Lineage: Bacteria; Bacillati; Bacillota; Bacilli; Caryophanales; Staphylococcaceae. The record is from RNAcentral.
AAUUUAAAGCGCCUGUGCAAGUGAUGAAUAAUUAAGUCCAAGAUUUAGUGUUUAAUCAGAAAUACUAAUAUGUCUUAACUAUGAAGCUUGUAGACGAGGAAGAUAGUUAUCGAUUUUUCGGCGGAUGCUAUCUCGGAUGUGGCUCAUUCGUUAUCUUAUUAAGGAAAACACUAGGGCAACCUUGUGCACAAAGUUAAUAAGU